Girardinichthys multiradiatus is the source of this 1295-nucleotide long non-coding RNA. RefSeq lists it as uncharacterized. Lineage: Eukaryota; Metazoa; Chordata; Actinopteri; Cyprinodontiformes; Goodeidae. The transcript has 4 exons. The record is from RefSeq and is a predicted model, not a curated record.
GGAAUUUUCUUCUUAGAUGCUAGACAACGAGUUUGCGGCUGGAAAAGAGACAGAGACGACAUUCCCAGAGCUCAUUAAGUCAUUAGUCACUGAUAACAUAAAACAAGAUAUGGAAAGCCAUAGAUAAUAGUUCUUCCUCAGGCUAAACUGACGGUGAAUUCAUCAACAAUAACAGAAACAGACUCAGUCACAUUAAGCUGUCAGGCUCCAGCUCGUGUUUCUGUGCAUAAGUGUCAUUUCUAUGUGAACAGUGGAACCCAGACACCAUUCCCUUGUAUGAACACAUUUACAGGAACUGAGCUGCUGAGGAUGGCAAAGAAAGGUUCAUCCUCUGUGGUUGAAGUGAGAUGUUAUUACAUUGUAAAAAAUGGAGUUGUAGAUUCUCCAUCUCCCCACAGUGAUACAUCCUACAUCACUAUAGGUCUAAAACCACAAAUGAGUGUUCAAUACCUUAAGGGGCAGUAUGCUAUCUUCAUCUGCUCUCUGCCUGGAUCUGUGAAACAUGAUACAACAUGUAACCUGUACUUUGGAGGAUCCAGUCAUCCAGCCAAAACAACAACCACAGGGAAGACGGAGACCAAUCAGUGGUUCUGCUGGACUGAGAUACAAGAAGAUGAAUUGUUGAAGCAUCUACAUUCAGUUCAACAGAAGGAGGUCAGCUGUGAUUACAGUUUGGAAAGUGAUGGGAAAUCUUUGUCACCUCGUAGUGAUCCAUACACCUUGCCUGACCCCCAAAGGUGCAGUGUUUAUCGGGCACCAAGAUGUAAGCAGUAGAUCAUUCAAGUCUUGUUAGUUGUGAGGUGGAACCUCCAGGAUCAGUCUUCUUUGACCAGCCCAUCCCACAGAUGCUGGAUUAGAGUCCUUGGAAUCCAAGUUAGCUCCUAGAACCAUUACUGAACCAUUUGUGAUUUUUUUGCAGGGUACUGAAAAAGGGCUUUCUCAUUAGUCUGUGGCUAUGCUGCCCUAUGUGCAACAAACUGUAAUGUACUGAUCUGACAGCUUUUUAUGAGUCUAUUUGAACUUCUUCAGCAGUUUGAGCUACAAUAACUCACCUGUUUAUUCUGACCACAUGGGCCAGCCUUCACUCUCCACGUGCAUUAGUGAGGUCGAGCCACCCCUCACCCUGUCACCGGUUCAUCACUGUUGCUUUCGCCAAUUUUAAUAGAGACUGACCACUCCAAACCUGCAAAACCCAACAAGAGCUGCACCUUUAGAGAUGCUUCGACCCAGUCAUCUAGCCAUUACUGUUUGGCCCUUGAGGUUGAGGACAAAAUGUUGACUUGCUCCCUAAUGUA